Molecule: transfer RNA, 86 nt
Filed under: Pseudomonadota bacterium
Lineage: Bacteria; Pseudomonadati; Pseudomonadota
Also listed under: 3 other names
Description: tRNA-Leu
Rfam family: tRNA
About the family: Transfer RNA (tRNA) molecules are approximately 80 nucleotides in length.
Source: RNAcentral
GCGAGAGUGGCGGAAUUGGCAGACGCACUAGACUUAGGAUCUAGCCCGCUUGACGGCGGAUGGGGGUUCAAGUCCCCCCUCUCGCA